Long non-coding RNA from Tigriopus californicus, 388 nucleotides. RefSeq lists it as uncharacterized. The record is from RefSeq and is a predicted model, not a curated record. The transcript is spliced from 2 exons. NCBI's taxonomy places the organism in Eukaryota, Metazoa, Arthropoda, Copepoda, Harpacticoida, Harpacticidae.
AUCGACGGUCAAUUGAUCCAAACGACCGAACAAUGGGUAAAAACAAUGGACCUAAUUUCACUCCAUUGCUGUGUUUGAGUUGAUAAGGAUCAGUUGGAUUCUUCGUUGAUCAAAAGUGCCAUGGUUGAGAAUAUUUAAAAAAAAAUGGGAAUAUCUACAUCAAACACUUGUUUUGAGAGAAAACUUGGAAAACCAGGGGAGAAGAUGUGAUUUUCAAGUUCAACGCAGAUUGACUUCAUAUUGCAUCACAGAGGCUCCAUCGGAUUCGAAACCAAAUGAUGGAUUGGUUCUCAAGAUUGAAAUGUCAGUCUGGAAUCACAUGCAUACCUAUAAAUCAUAUUAUAUUUGAUACAAUAUGAAUAUAAAUAUCAAGGUUAUAUUUGUUGAA